UACCGGGGGAGCAAGCGUUAUUAGGAAUCACUGGGCGUAUAGCGCGUGUAGGCAGCUCUGCAAGUCGGGUGUGAAAUCCCGAGGAUCAACCUCGGAACUGCACUCGAUACUGCUUGGCUCGAGUCCCGGAGAGGGUGGCGGAAUUCCCGGUGUAGGGGUGAAAUCCGUAGAUAUCGGGAGGAACACCAGUGGCGAAGGCGGCCACCUGGACGGUGACUGACGCUGAGACGCGAAAGCGUGGGGAGCAAACAGG
RNAcentral lists this ribosomal RNA (253 nucleotides) under uncultured bacterium. Its description in RNAcentral is "partial 16S ribosomal RNA". It matches the Rfam family "Bacterial small subunit ribosomal RNA", at positions 524 to 776 of the family's 1533-position model. The record is from RNAcentral.